AACGAACGCUGGCGGCAGGCUUAACACAUGCAAGUCGAGCGCCCCGCAAGGGGAGCGGCAGACGGGUGAGUAACGCGUGGGAACAUACCCUUUGGUUCGGAAUAACUCAGGGAAACUUGAGCUAAUACCGGAUACGUCCGUAAGGAGAAAGAUUUAUCGCCAAAGGAUUGGCCCGCGUCCGAUUAGCUAGUUGGUGAGGUAACGGCUCACCAAGGCUACGAUCGGUAGCUGGUCUGAGAGGAUGAUCAGCCACAUUGGGACUGAGACACGGCCCAAACUCCUACGGGAGGCAGCAGUGGGGAAUAUUGGACAAUGGGCGCAAGCCUGAUCCAGCCAUGCCGCGUGAGUGAUGAAGGCCUUAGGGUUGUAAGGCUCUUUUGUCCGGGAAGAUAAUGACUGUACCGGAAGAAUAAGCCCCGGCUAACUUCGUGCCAGCAGCCGCGGUAAU
Molecule: ribosomal RNA, 448 nt
Filed under: uncultured bacterium
Lineage: Bacteria
Description: bacterial SSU rRNA
Rfam family: Bacterial small subunit ribosomal RNA
Source: RNAcentral